GCUGAGGACUGGCCUGGGGUUGCUUGUUGGCGACGUGCCUUCUGCCAUCCUUUCUUCUUGGCCUGAUGGCAGAGUCAGGACUGCCUGCCUGGGGACAUAAUUAGUAAAUGUGUCAUCUGCUGGCAGAUUACGAUGUAGUGCUAAACCUUUCUCUAGGUACGAUUCUGUCCCAGCGAUUCCUCCGCCUGGGCCAGGCGUCAGCCCUAAUGAAAGGCUGCAGGACCUGUCCACACCGUGUCUGUCUGUGACCUAAUGGGUGUGACGGGAGGCUGAUGAAAAAAUCAAUGUCUGUGCUGCCCUCGUCUGUGUCUCAGCACCUGCAGCAGCGUCUGGCCCAGGGCAGGCCUUCCAAUGCAUUUGUGGAGUAAGGGAAGGAAGCUGGGAAGCUCUGUCACUGGGCAUCGGAGCUGAAAGGAGGACAAGACCCUGAGGCUUGGAGGCUCCAGUGGAACUGGGAGGACUUGGGAGGCGGUGGGGCCUCCUGCUCUCUGCAGGUAUUUCCAGGCUCCCGGCCGCAGCUGUCUUGAGACUAUGGCCCCGAGGAGGCGGGAGAUGGAGGGUGAGAUUCUGG
This 571-nucleotide long non-coding RNA is filed under the name Homo sapiens (human). RNAcentral's name for it is "HSALNT0279092". The record is from RNAcentral. Lineage: Eukaryota; Metazoa; Chordata; Mammalia; Primates; Hominidae.